ACAACUACAGGUGGUGGAUC
RNAcentral lists this ribosomal RNA (20 nucleotides) under Ancyrocephalus paradoxus. RNAcentral's name for it is "partial 5.8S ribosomal RNA". The record is from RNAcentral. Lineage: Eukaryota; Metazoa; Platyhelminthes; Monogenea; Dactylogyridea; Ancyrocephalidae.